AUUCGGGUUGAUAACUAGGCGGCGGUUUCAAAUAUUCCUCGACGACCUCUGCCCUUUAAGUACCCGAAAGAUUGAAUUUUUGCGCGGUCGAUCUUACACAUUUGCUUUCGUUUCAACUAUGUUUGUACAUGUUUAUUCGGCCGCAACAUUC
RNAcentral lists this small nucleolar RNA (151 nucleotides) under Capronia coronata CBS 617.96. Lineage: Eukaryota; Fungi; Ascomycota; Eurotiomycetes; Chaetothyriales; Herpotrichiellaceae. The record is from RNAcentral.